UUUUUGUGUGGCACCAGCCCGGGUGCUUUUUUGUGUGGUACCAGCCCGGGUGCUUUUUUGUGUGGCACCAGCCCGGGUGCUUUUUGUGCGGCACCAGCCCGGGUGCUUUUUUGUGUGGCACCAGCCCGGGUGCUUUUUUGUGUGGCACCAGCCCGGGUGCAUUUUGUGUGGCACCAGCCCGGGUGCAUUUUGUGUGGAAUCAGCCCGGGUGCUUUUUUGUGUGGCACUAGCCCGGGUGCUUUUUUUGUGUGGCACCAGCCCUGGUGUAUUUUGUGUGGCACCAACCCUGGUGUAUUUUGUGUGGCACCAGCCCGGGUGCAUUUUGUGUGGCACCAGCCCAGGUGCUUUUUGGGUGGUACUUGCAUGGGUGCUUUCUGCGUGACAUCAGAGCGGGUACUUUCUACAUAUAGCCAGUAUGGGUGCUUUCUUUUCAUGUGAUUCCAGCAUUGGUGCUUUUUUUGAUGUGAUGCUAGCAUGGGUACAUUUGUUAAAGAUGUUUCAAUUCUUGCUUUCUUGCUUCAACUACAGAAUAAACUAAACCAGGCCACCAUAUUAAACUUCUUGCUUUUUUUUUUUUUUACUGUUUGGCAAAUGUCUGUGUAUUUUAAGAAUAUUUCCUCUGGACACUUCAUUUUUGUAUUUGAUUCACAAGAUUCUUGAUGUGAAUUCGUGUGUUGAAACAAAUCUUGUCUUGGGUGGGGUCAUUAUGCCAAUAAUAAUAAACUCACAUGCAGGUUCAAUAUCAC
This 746-nucleotide long non-coding RNA is filed under the name Octopus vulgaris (common octopus). Lineage: Eukaryota; Metazoa; Mollusca; Cephalopoda; Octopoda; Octopodidae. The record is from RNAcentral.